GAAUAAUGAAGUAGAGAUUUAGUGUUCCUACGCACCCAAGAGGUAUAAGAGAUGACGGGAUAGACACACCGCCCAUUAUUC
This 81-nucleotide non-coding RNA is filed under the name Gemella bergeri ATCC 700627. RNAcentral describes it as "skipping-rope RNA". It matches the Rfam family "skipping-rope RNA". Rfam says of the family: Firmicutes, Fusobacteria, AlphaProteobacteria, Spirochaetes. Downstream gene The record is from Rfam by way of RNAcentral. Lineage: Bacteria; Bacillati; Bacillota; Bacilli; Caryophanales; Gemellaceae.